UUGAGAGUAAAAGGUUUUGUGAAACUUAAAAGGGUUCUCCUAUGGCAUCAGGCUGAAAGACCAUUAUUGGUUCUAAUUGAAAACUUUAUUUUUUAGAGUGCAAUAUGAGGCAAGUUAAGCCAUAACAACAUUUUUGUUUGGAACCCCAUUGUUUGUGGUCUAUUUGAGUUAGGCACACAGCUAAGGUUUCACUUGAUGGCACACAUCCAGAACUUGCAUUAGUUUCAUUUCUAUCUCACAUUCCCUCAGUUAUAGGUCGACGUAAGUUAAAAACGGCUCAUCUUACCCCACCCUCUCCUGUUCCACAAGUAGGGUGUGUGUUUUUAUUUUUCAGGUGAUUUCUCAGGGGAAUAUUCUUCAUCAUGUCACAUGUGCAAUUUGGGGUGAUAACAUGUUGAAAUGUACCUUUAUUUCUUUUCCAAGUCGGAACAGAUAAUCACAUGUAUUUUUUUUUUAAGUCUCCUGUAAUAAUAACGUUUUUCCCCUUUAAGAUCAUGUGACAUGUCAAGUCCACCAAGUUUUGUUUUCCUUUCCUCCCUCCUCAUGAAGUUGCGCAACAUGUUGCCAUUAAAAGCCUGAGAUCUCAGUGAGCCUGCUCAGAACGCCAGUGAAAGGAGGAACAUGGCAGAGAAUCGGGUGAGGGACAUGUACGAGGGAGUAGACCCAGAUGAAAUGACUGAAAAAGAGAAAGAAGAGCACAUAGCGAGAACUCUUCGUGAAAACCCAGAUGUUCUGUUUAGAAUAUAUUGCCAAGGCAGACCGCAUAUGGUCUUCUUGAGGCCAACUAACCCUGGGGAGUGGACGAGGGUGAUUCUGAGCAGGAUCACAACCAACCUGUCUUUUCAGAUGACUAAGAAACGUGGCGUAGACGCCAUCUUCACAAUCAUCAUGUCUGGCACUCAAGAGGAGCUUGGACGUCUCUGUGAUGAUUUUGAUCAGCUCUAUGUCGAGGUCAUGACAAACAGCCAGGAUGGAGGAGCAGCAGCACAGAGGAACCCAGAGGAUGAUGUUGAGGAGGACAGAGCGAGAAUCAAAGAGCUGGACCUGGAGAACAAGAAGCUUCAGAAGCAGUAGAUGUCCAAAUCCAAGCCCCAUGUACCUACCGCUGGUCUCCUUUCAUCGCUGCAGUGGGAGUGGAUGAAGUUGUGUAUAAAUAUAUUAUUAGAACUAUAUUAUUAACUGUCAUUUUCAAAAUCCCUACACCGAAUACUGAAAAAUCUCCUACGCAUACCAGAUCAUCUGAUACGUAUACUUCAUCCUUUUAUUUCUAGAAGUGACGAAUAUUCAUUUAGCUAAGACUCAGCACUAGAUUCCCAGAUAGCAGACUAACACUGAAUCAACAUUGAAUCAACACUGAAUCAACACUGAAUCAAUACUGAAUCAACACUGAAUCAACAUUGAAUCAACAUUGAAUCAAUACUGGAUCAACGUUAAUGCAUCAACCAUAUUAUCAUUGAGUCAGUGUUGAAAUUUGAAAUGAGAUUUUUUUAUCAGAUUUGCACACUGAAACAACGAAAAACAGAUCAAGACGGACAAAAUAUAUAUCAAUAUUUGUUCAACUACAUGGAAGGGUCAUGAGGUCACAAAAUGAACAGGAUUCAUCCUAUGAGGAGCACAAAUAUGCUCACUAAAUUUCAUGGAAACGCAUCCAGUUGAUUUGCGUUGUGUUGAAUGAGGGGACAUUAAAUCUAAGCCCCACCAGUGGGGAAAUGAAGCUGACCAGAAAAUCAACACUGAUUCACUGUUUGUCUUCUCAACACUGAAUCAACACUGAAUCAACACUGAUUCACUGUUUGUCUUCUCAACGCUGAAUCAACACUGAUUCACUGUUUGUCUUCUCAACACUGAAUCAACACUGAUUCACUGUUUGUCUUCUCAACACUGAAUCAACACUGAUUCACUGUUUGUCUUCUCAACACUGAAUCAACACUGACUCAACACUGAUUCACUGUUUGUCUUUUCAACACUGAAAAGCUAAUGAAUUAUCAACGUUGAUUCAAUAUUAUUUAGUAUUGAAUAUUCAACCUCAACCAAAAUGAUGAUUCUGAUGGAAUUUCAACAUUGAAUCAAUGUCACCUUGCUAUCUGGGUUUAAUCUGACUCAUGCAUUAUGUAUAUGUUUGUUUGUUUGUUUGUUUGUUUGCUAUAAAGUCUUAACAACCUUCAUGCUGUUAUAUCACCUGGAAAUAGAAUUAAAAUCUCCAUUUUGCUUAUUUCAUUGUAUUUUAGAAUAUUAUUUCCAAUUACUGUCUUUUUCUUUCAUUUCAUAAACAUUUAAUAACAUUUAAUGUUCAAUUUAAUAAACAGUUAAUAAAGUGACUUUUAUAACGAC
Ictalurus furcatus (blue catfish) is the source of this 2331-nucleotide long non-coding RNA. RefSeq lists it as uncharacterized. Lineage: Eukaryota; Metazoa; Chordata; Actinopteri; Siluriformes; Ictaluridae. The record is from RefSeq and is a predicted model, not a curated record. The transcript has 2 exons.